This 1648-nucleotide long non-coding RNA is filed under the name Nicotiana benthamiana. RNAcentral describes it as "long non-coding RNA (NBEN_LNC006606)". The record is from RNAcentral. Lineage: Eukaryota; Viridiplantae; Streptophyta; Magnoliopsida; Solanales; Solanaceae.
AUUGAUUAGCUAUGAUUAUGAGAAUGUACAGAAUAACAAACUGAAAGUAAAGAGACUUGGGAGCAAAAUUUCUAUAUAUGAGGUGCAUGUCCUAUACAUAGUUUCUAUUGCACAAAUAGAUAAGUAAAAUCCUAUAGUCAUGUUUUCUACCCAUUCCCGUUAACUAAGCAUGCAUAACCCUCCCAAUUUCACUAUAAACCCCAUUAUUCUUUGCAAGUUAUUACAAGCCAACAAUUCAAAAAUACAACAGUGAUAAAAAGAAGAAACUAUUAUAUAGGGAGCCUACAGCCAGGCCCAAGAUCUCCAACCUCCCUACUUUCGAGUUUCACAGCCAUUGCCAAGGUUUGGGUGCAGCAAAGUUCCCUAAGGGUUCGUUUGAACCCCUGGCAAAUACCAAGCACCCAAAAUAUCCCAAUUGGACAAGUGCAAGAGUAGAAGUGCCAGCCUUGUGCAUCUAUGUUCAAUGGGUGCUUAAGGCUCCCAAGGCAAUGCUUACACUAAGGGGACAAGACUCUAAGGUUAUAAGAAUGGGGAUUGUGAUUAGAAUUGAGAGAGUGAAAAAAAUUGAGAGACGGCUUGAUAACACAGUUGAAAGAGUUGAAAAAGUUGAGACAGUUUAAGAAGAUAGUUGAAAGUGUUGCAAGAGGUUGAGACAGUUUAAGAAAAUAGUUGAAAGAGUUGCAAGAGUUCUUUUUAAAAAAGCAUUUAGAUUGACCAGUUUUAGAGCAACAGAGCAUCACACAAAUAAGGGCACAGGGGAAGGGAACAAAUAAGUAAAGUAAACUACUUACACAGGCAAUAUAUUGGAAGAAAGUAAUCAGACAUGAUUGUAAGAUAGGAGCUCAAUUCUCACUAUGCCAAUCUCUAACACACUUAGCCUCAAACAUGGGCUUCAGGCUAACCAAGUAGCCAAGAAGACAUGGAUGCAUGGUAGUAGUACACAAGGAAAGAGUAAACAUUUUUUGAGAUAGGUGAGGGGGUAAGGGAGCAAAUAAGUAAAGUCUACAGACAACAUAUUGGAAGAAAGUAAUCAGACAUGGUUGUAAAACAAGAGUUUAGUUCUUAGUGCACCAAACCCCAAAUAUAAUCAUCCUCAGGGAGAGGUUUCAUGGCUGUUAAGUAGCCAAGCAGUAGUGCACAUGGAAGAGGAAAACAUUCAUUGAGACAAGGAAAGGGGGGUAGGGGAAUCAUGCUAAGCAAAACUAGGUAGACUAAUAACUACAUGCUAGUGGCAAUAAGAGCAACAGAACCAUAGGUAAAAGCACACAAUAAAUAAUAUGAAGUGCCAGACUAAUAGAAGAAUGUUGUUUUAGAGGCUAUAUAUUAAAUAGGUGACAUACCAAUUGCAGGUAAUAGAACACAAUAGCAAUGAGCAAUAGUGCACAAAGGAACAAAGUGAGCAGAGAGUGUAAGCACCAGAGGGAAUAACAUCAGUAUGAGAAUAGCAGCAACAAUAUGAGAACAGCAGCAACAAUAUGAGAAUAGCAACAAACAUAGACCCAAGUAGACAAACAGUAGAACCCAGUAGUGUAGAAGUAAUCUACCUAGGCUACUCAAUUUCGCUUUUAGCCGAUUGAGUGUUCCAAUAAGAGAAUGAGAGAGUAUAGUAAUAACAGAGAAACAGAGAAUUCAGAGAGUCUGAGGUUGU